UACAGGGGUCUCAAGCGUUGUUCGGAUUCAUUGGGCGUAAAGGGCGCGUAGGCGGCAAGGCAAGUCGGGUGUGAAAGCUUGGGGCUUAACCCCGAAAGGGCACUCGAAACUGCGUUGCUAGAGGGCCGGAGAGGAGAUCGGAAUUCACGGUGUAGCAGUGAAAUGCGUAGAGCUCGUGAGGAAGACCGGUGGCGAAGGCGGAUCUCUGGACGGCCCCUGACGCUGAGGCGCGAAGGCUAGGGGAGCAAACGGG
This 253-nucleotide ribosomal RNA is filed under the name uncultured bacterium. RNAcentral's name for it is "partial 16S ribosomal RNA". It matches the Rfam family "Bacterial small subunit ribosomal RNA", at positions 524 to 776 of the family's 1533-position model. The record is from RNAcentral.